GUGUCAGCAGCCGCGGUAAUACAGAGGGUGCGAGCGUUGUCCGGAAUUACUGGGCGUAAAGGGCGCGUAGGCGGUUCGAUAAGUAGGAGGUGAAAUCUCACGGCUCAACCGGGAGGCUGCCUUCUAGACUGUCGGACUUGAGCACGGUAGAGGCAGAUGGAAUUCCCGGUGUAGCGGUGGAAUGCGUAGAGAUCGGGAAGAACACCAGUGGCGAAGGCGGUCUGCUGGGCCGUUGCUGACGCUGAGGCGCGACAGCGUGGGGAGCAAACAGGAUUAGAUACCCUGGUAGUCC
This 292-nucleotide ribosomal RNA is filed under the name uncultured bacterium. RNAcentral describes it as "partial 16S ribosomal RNA". It matches the Rfam family "Bacterial small subunit ribosomal RNA", at positions 505 to 796 of the family's 1533-position model. The record is from RNAcentral.